AUAGCGUAUAUUAAAGUUGUUGCAGUUAAAAAGCUCGUAGUUGAAUUUCGGGAUUGGCGCAUCGGUCGUGCCUCACGGGGUAUGAACUGGUGCAGUCAAUUUCUCACCUUCUGGAGAACCGCGAUGUCCUUAAUUGGAUGCCGCGGGGAACCAGGACCUUUACUUUGAAAAAAUUAGAGUGUUUAAAGCAGGCAUUUUUGCUUGAAUACAUUAGCAUGGAAUAAUAAAAUAGGACGGCAUGGUUCUAUUUUGUUGGUUUCUAGGACCACCGUAAUGAUUAAUAGGGAUAGUUGGGGGCAUUGGUAUUGAGUCACUAGAGGUGAAAUUCUUGGAUUGACUCAAGACCAACUAUUG
This 354-nucleotide ribosomal RNA is filed under the name uncultured eukaryote. RNAcentral's name for it is "SSU rRNA". It matches the Rfam family "Eukaryotic small subunit ribosomal RNA", at positions 594 to 945 of the family's 1831-position model. The record is from RNAcentral.